UACGGAGGGAGCUAGCGUUGUUCGGAAUUACUGGGCGUAAAGCGCACGUAGGCGGCUUUGUAAGUUAGAGGUGAAAGCCCGGGGCUCAACCCCGGAAUUGCCUUUAAGACUGCAUCGCUUGAAUCCAGGAGAGGUGAGUGGAAUUCCGAGUGUAGAGGUGAAAUUCGCAGAUAUUCGGAAGAACACCAGUGGCGAAGGCGGCUCACUGGACUGGUAUUGACGCUGAGGUGGCGAAAGCGUGGGGAGCAAACAGG
Molecule: ribosomal RNA, 254 nt
Filed under: uncultured bacterium
Lineage: Bacteria
Description: partial 16S ribosomal RNA
Rfam family: Bacterial small subunit ribosomal RNA
Source: RNAcentral